CAUUCAAAGAGUGCGUAAUAGCUCACUGGUCGAGCGUCUUUGCGCGGAGAAUUUAACGGGGCUAAACCUGACACCGAAGCUUAGGCAAUACAGCAAUGUAUUGGGUAGGGGAGCGUUGUAUACGCGGUGAAACAGUAGCGCAAGCGGCUGUGGAGUGUAUAGAAGUGAGAAUGCCGGAAUGAGUAGCGCGAAUGCAGUGAGAAUCUGCAUGGCCGAAAGCCUCAGGUUUCUGGAGGAAGGUUCGUCCGCUCCAGGUUAGUCGGGAGCUAAGGUGAGGCCGGAAGGCGUAGCCGAUGCACAGACGGUAGAGAUUCCGUCACCACCAAAAGAGUUAAGCACAGGGACACAUUUGAAGUCUCAGAGCCGGGUGUUGGUUCCGGUAGAGAUCGAGGGAAAUUAGUACCGAAGUCUGGGAUGGAAGAUGGCGAGAAAAGCUGUGUGUAUUUCUGAGGUGCCCGUACCGCAAACCGACACAGGUAGGUAGGAAGAAGAUUCUAAGGCCAACGGGAGAAGGGUUGUUAAGGAACUCGGCAAGUUGACCCCGUAACUUCGGAAUAAGGGGUGCUCACGAGAGUGAGCCGCAGAGAAUAGGCCCAGGCAACUGUUUACCAAAAACACAGGUUUGUGCUAAAUCGAAAGAUGACGUAUACGAGCUGACGCCUGCCCGGUGCUGGAAGGUUAAGAGGAGAUGUGCAAGCAUUGAAUCGAAGCCCCAGUGAACGGCGGCCGUAACUAUAACGGUCCUAAGGUAGCGAAAUUCCUUGUCAGGUAAGUUCUGACCCGCACGAAAGGCGUAAUGAUUUGGGCACUGUCUCAACAGCCCGCCCGGCGAAAUUGUAGUACCGGUGAAGAUGCCGGUUACCCGCGACAAGACGGAAAGACCCCAUGGAGCUUUACUGUAGCCUAAUAUUGGGUUUCGAUGUUGCAUGCACAGGAUAGAUGGGACACAGGGAAACAGGAGCUUUGGCUUCUGCGGAGUGGCCGUUGGGAUACCAUCCUUGCGAUAUUGGAAUUCUAACCUGCGGCUCUGAAUCGAGUCGGGGGACAUUGUUAGGUGGGCAGUUUGACUGGGGCGGUCGCCUCCUAAAAAGUAACGGAGGCGUUCAAAGGUUCGCUCAGCUUGAACGGAAAUCAAGCAAAAGAGUGCAAACGCAGAAGCGAGCCUAACUGCGAGACUGACGGGUCGAGCAGUAACGAAAGUUGGAGUUAGUGAUCCGGUGGUAUGUGAGUGGAAAUGCCAUCGCUCAACGGAUAAAAGUUACCCUGGGGAUAACAGGCUGAUCUCCCCCAAGAGUCCACAUCGACGGGGAGGUUUGGCACCUCGAUGUCGGCUCAUCGCAUCCUGGGGCUGAAUUCGGUCCCAAGGGUUUGGCUGUUCGCCAAUUAAAGCGGUACGCGAGCUGGGUUCAGAACGUCGUGAGACAGUUCGGUCCCUAUCUGUCGUGGGCGCAGGAUAUUUGAUGGGAGCUGUCCCUAGUACGAGAGGACCGGGACGGACGUACCUCUGGCGCACCAGUUGUUCCGCCAGGAGCAUAGCUGGGCAACUACGUACGGAUCGGAUAAACGCUGAAAGCAUCUAAGCGUGAAGCCGACCCAAAGAUAAGAUAUCCCACUGAUUCAAUCAGGUAAGAUCCCUUGUAGACUACGAGGUUGAUAGGCACGAUGUGUAAGUGGAGCGAUCCAUUCAGCAAGUGUGUACUAAUAGAUCGAGGGCUUGACCA
Molecule: ribosomal RNA, 1721 nt
Filed under: human gut metagenome
Description: bacterial LSU rRNA
Rfam family: Bacterial large subunit ribosomal RNA
Source: RNAcentral